GCAAUUCCAGUGAUUGCAAGCUUUUGAUAAUGCAGCUAGGGUGAUUUCCAGGAAGGGCAACCUGUAUAAAUUGGAGAGGGUAAUGAUGUCAUGGAUGCUUGAUAGGAUAUAAUUGUUGCGCACGUAUUUUGUGUUGUAGUGUGCUGAUGGUAGGUUUGUGAAUGACUGGCUAACCGAUCGUAGUGGGACAAUCUUACUCCCCAUGAUGCAAAAACUGUUUUAUUGCAAGGAAUCCCUCAAACUGCAGCUCCAUAAGAUGUAGAACGGUUUUUGUCUGGUUGUAAAUAUGAUUCAUCUUCCCUCCAGAUAAUUUUCAGGUAAGCUGAAUGGCUUGCGAAUGAAACAUGCUUAUAUAUAUAGGGGGCGGAUGUGUGGCACCAUAUUACACAUAUACUAAAACUCAACAUCAAAUUACUGUUCAUGAACAGUAAACGGACGAAAAUGCCCUCCAAUUCAUUUGUUAUCUGUCUUUUUUUCGUUUUUUUAACAGUAAAAAGACGACUUUGCCUUUCAUCUCCACCUGUCGAUCACUCCUCAGCUUCUGUCAUUUUCAAUGGCAUAAAUGCCCUCUGUUUCUUCUCCAUUAUGCCGUUUGUCCACGCGUUGCUCAUCGCUCCGCAUUGACUGCUUCUCGACCUUUCUUCUCUACUUUUCCCUCCGUUCCACUUUUCUCUGUCACAAUUCCCUACUUCUGUCGCUCUUGAACCUCGAAUCCUUUAGCUCUCCAAAGCUACCUUCUCUCCCUCUCCAACCUUGCUAUCUUUGUCUAAAAAAUUACCAACCACACUUUCUUGCUAAAAAACCUUCACUGCUUUCUCUGUUGCUAGAGGUUGCUUUCUCUUCUACUCCCGCAGGGCUUUCAAUUCUCAAUUAGAAUCUAGAGGUAAAAGCCCAGAAAGCUAAUAUGGCAAAGCAAGAGCUUUCCAGCACUCUCAGGAACUUAAAAGGUAAAAAGAAACGAUGAAAUUUCAAUUUUUUUGGUUUUUUAUUUAUUUUCAGUGUUAAUUUCUGAUUAAAUUAUUAUUUUUGAUAAACCCUCUUAGAAUCUAAUCUAGGUUUUGCUUAAAUUCAUCUUGGUGUUGUUUAAUUUUGGGUUGUAUAAUUUUCUGGUGGACCUGUAAUUGUAUUUACAGAUUAAUAUAACGUAAUUGGGUUAUUCUUUUAAUUACUGUGGUUUAUGCAAAGAGCAACUUAGAAAGAGGUGAAGAAAGAAGAAGAUGUCAAACCAUGCCUUAUCACCUCAGUUGAUGCAGGUUUCCUUUCUAUGAACCCAAUUUUGGAUGGGGAAAGCCACCAUGGGUGACUUUGGGUACGGAGUUCAAGAAUCUAAUUGUGUUAAUGGAUACACGAGAUGGAGAUGGCAUAGAAGUAUCCUUGAAUCUCAAGGAAGAAGACCUGGCCAUAUUUGAAAGCAAUAGGGAGCUGCUUGAGUGUGUGCUAAAUUGGAUGUUGGUUUGGUUGUUUCCAAUCUUUCCCCACGACUUUCGAUACCCAAUAGAGAAUAUGAAAAACCUAACUUUAAUUUUGUAAAUUUUUUGUCCUAAAUGAAGGUAACAUGGGAAUUUGUUCUGAAUGAUGUUCAAAGAACUUCAAACUCAACUUUGUCCUGAAUGAUGUUCUGUUCUCUGGAUGUCUGAUAUCAAUUUUUUAUUUGCUCAGAGUCAUCUGAUUUACAUCGUUUGCUAGGGUGAUAAUGUGCCUCCACCAUUCAAUUCAUUUGAAUCUACUGGCCUCCCAUCUGAGAUUCAGAGGUUUUGAGCUUCCACAAAUUCCAAGGCGUUCAAACUUUAUACUCUUGAAUGAAAUGGAUCAAUUUGUUUGCAGCUUGAAGAUUACUGCUUUCACCAAGUUUAUCUCCAACUCCAGGCUUUGAGAUACAAUGUUGUUUUAGGCUGUCAUCUAGAUUCUCAAUCACAUGUUUCCACGGCGGUUUCAAAGAGGUCCUUGAGACGAUCAGAUGCUAUACUGAGCAACCACCAUUAUAAUAAGGUAAGACCGAGCGUCGUUCUCUUGGUCACUAGAUGCCUUGAGAAUUUAUAGUCACUCACCCAACUUGGGAUUUGAGUAAUCAUGAAUAACUCGAUUUCGUGUUACCAUGUGAUGUGCUGGUGAGAGGACUUUGGUAUGGGAGGGAGGACUAGAGAGAGACGUUUAGAUUUGAGAAAGGCAAUUGGUAUUGAAAAUUGAGAUGCCUAUAUACCAUGGCAGGGUCGGUUCCAGCUUUUUCUCUUCCUUGGUAAUUACUAUAAAUACAAUUGGAUGGUGCGUACAAAUUACUAAAACUUCAAGAAAAAACAAAACAGACCCAGAUACCAAUUCACUUCAGUCCCCAAACAUCUCGAUCCGUUUCAGCCUUUUCUCUUCCUUGCAUGGAGAGCUGUACAAGGCACUUUCUGCAAUUUAUUGCAAAAUAAUGUCAGUUUUUUCUUUGGAUACAACUCAAACUAGGAGCAAGUCUGGUAGCCAAGCUUUACGUUCGUUGCAUGUAGCACAUGAAAAGUCUAAGAAUGUAGUAAGCUUUAUUUUGCAGGUCUUUCCCAGAACCCUCUAAAUUUGCAACUGUUUGCUUUCCGUCUCAAACCGAGGCAAUGAAUGCAUUCCUUGCGAAGAACAAAGGCUUCUGUCAGAAUCGUCAAAUUUUGAUGCGCGUUCUCCAGUAAUCCUGUUUUGUUGGUUCCCUUUGUCAGAAGAAUUGCUAUGAGACAUGAUGAAAUGAGAAUAGGAUUAUGUAGUAUCAUGUCGUUAUUCGGCACUGUAGGAAUUUGCAUGGCAUACGAUGUCUUUUUAUGAGGCCGUGUUUUUAUUUACUUGAUUCAACUCAGGAGUAGAAAUGUGUUCAUUCCUCGUGCAGGAAUGGGUAUUCCAUUCUUUCGUUUAAUCCCAAGUCCUUUUGCUAAUAAUUACAAGCA
Molecule: RNA transcript, 2909 nt
Organism: Pyrus x bretschneideri (Chinese white pear)
Lineage: Eukaryota; Viridiplantae; Streptophyta; Magnoliopsida; Rosales; Rosaceae
Exons: 11
Source: RefSeq, a predicted model, not a curated record